RNAcentral lists this ribosomal RNA (253 nucleotides) under uncultured bacterium. RNAcentral's name for it is "partial 16S ribosomal RNA". It matches the Rfam family "Bacterial small subunit ribosomal RNA", at positions 524 to 776 of the family's 1533-position model. The record is from RNAcentral.
UACGGGGGGGGCAAGCGUUGUUCGGAAUUACUGGGCGUAAAGGGCUCGUAGGUGGCCAACUAAGUCAGACGUGAAAUCCCUCGGCUUAACCGGGGAACUGCGUCUGAUACUGGAUGGCUAGAGAUUGGGAGAGGGAUGCGGAAUUCCAGGUGUAGCGGUGAAAUGCGUAGAUAUCUGGAGGAACACCGGUGGCGAAGGCGGCAUUCUGGACCGACAUUGACGCUGAGGAGCGAAAGCCAGGGGAGCAAACGGG